UACGUAGGGUGCAAGCGUUAAUCGGAAUUACUGGGCGUAAAGCGCACGUAGGUGGUUUUCUAAGUCAGCUGUGAAAUCCCCGGGCUCAACCUGGGACUUGCAGUUGAAACUGGAAAGCUAGAGUAGGGUAGAGGGGUGUGGAAUUCCAGGUGUAGCGGUGAAAUGCGUAGAUAUCUGGAGGAACAUCAGUGGCGAAGGCGACACCCUGGACUCAUACUGACACUGAGGUGCGAAAGCGUGGGGAGCGAACAGG
This 253-nucleotide ribosomal RNA is filed under the name uncultured bacterium. Its description in RNAcentral is "partial 16S ribosomal RNA". It matches the Rfam family "Bacterial small subunit ribosomal RNA", at positions 524 to 776 of the family's 1533-position model. The record is from RNAcentral.